AGAGUUUGAUCCUGGCUCAGGAUGAACGCUAGCGGCAGGCUUAAUACAUGCAAGUCGAACGGUAAGGUCUCUUCGGAGAUACACGAGUGGCGCACGGGUGCGUAACGCGUAUGCAACCUACCUUUAACUGGGAAAUAGCCCCGAGAAAUCGGGACUAAUGUCCCAUACUAUUCUGAGAAUGCAUAUUCUUAGAAUGAAAGCUCCGGCGGUUAUUGAUGGGCAUGCGUGACAUUAGCUAGUUGGUGAGGUAACGGCUCACCAAGGCUACGAUGUCUAGGGGUCCUGAGAGGGUUAACCCCCACACUGGUACUGAGACACGGACCAGACUCCUACGGGAGGCAGCAGUGGGGAAUAUUGGGCAAUGGACGAAAGUCUGACCCAGCGACGCCGCGUGAAGGAAGAAUGUCCUAUGGAUUGUAAACUUCUUUUGUACGGGAAUAACCCUCCGAACGUGUUCGGAGCUGAAGGUACCGUAAGAAUAAGCAUCGGCUAACUCCGUGCCAGCAGCCGCGGUAAUACGGAGGAUGCGAGCGUUAUCCGGAUUUAUUGGGUUUAAAGGGUGCGUAGGCUGUUAUAUAAGUCAGUGGUGAAAUAUUCGGGCUCAACCGGGAUACUGCCAUUGAUACUGUAUAGCUGGAAUAUGGUUGCUGUGAGUGGAAUGUGUGGUGUAGCGGUGAAAUGCAUAGAUAUGACACAGAACGCCGAUUGCGAAGGCAGCUUACUAAGCCAUUACUGACGCUGAGGCACGAAAGCGUGGGGAUCGAACAGGAUUAGAUACCCUGGUAGUCCACGCCGUAAACGAUGAUCACUCGCUGUUUGCGAUAUACAGCAAGCGGCUGAGCGAAAGCAUUAAGUGAUCCACCUGGGGAGUACGAUCGCAAGGUUGAAACUCAAAGGAAUUGACGGGGGCCCGCACAAGCGGAGGAGCAUGUGGUUUAAUUCGACGCAACGCGAAGAACCUUACCUGGGCUUGACAUCCCGUGACAUAGAGGGGAAACUCUCUUUUCCUUCGGGACUACUUACAAGGUGCUGCAUGGUUGUCGUCAGCUCGUGCCGUGAGGUGUCGGGUUAAGUCCCAUAACGAGCGCAACCCCUAUCGUUAGUUGCCAGCGGAUAACGGCGAGGACUCUAAAGGAACUGCCUACGCAAGUAGUGAGGAAGGUGGGGAUGACGUCAAAUCAGCACGGCCCUUAUGUCCAGGGCUACACACGUGUUACAAUGGCCGAUACAAAGGGCAGCUACCAGGUGACUGGAUGCUAAUCUCUAAAGUCGGUCUCAGUUCGGAUCGGAGUCUGCAACUCGACUCCGUGAAGUUGGAUUCGCUAGUAAUCGCGCAUCAGCCAUGGCGCGGUGAAUACGUUCCCGGGCCUUGUACACACCGCCCGUCAAGCCAUGGAAGCUGGGGGUGCCUGAAGUUCGUGACCGCAAGGAGCGACCUAGGGCAAAACUAGUAACUGGGGCUAAGUCGUAACAAGGUAACC
Molecule: ribosomal RNA, 1481 nt
Filed under: uncultured bacterium
Lineage: Bacteria
Description: bacterial SSU rRNA
Rfam family: Bacterial small subunit ribosomal RNA
Source: RNAcentral